CCCUUAGACGUUCUGGGCCGCACGCGCGCUACACUGACCAGUGCAACAAGCAUCCGUCCUUGGCCGACAGGCUCGGGCAAUCUUUGAACGCUGGUCGUGAUGGAGAUAGACUUUUGCAAUUUUUGGUCUUCAACGAGGAAUUCCUAGUAACGCAAGUCAUCAACUUGCAUUGAUUACGUCCCUGCCCUUUGUACACACCGCCCGUCGCACCUACCGAUUGAAUGGUCCGGUGAAGCCUCCGGAUUGGCGCGCACCUCGGUGCCGCCGAGAAGUUGGCUAAACCUUACCAUUUAGAGGAAGGUGAAGUCGUAACA
Molecule: ribosomal RNA, 314 nt
Filed under: uncultured eukaryote
Lineage: Eukaryota
Description: partial 18S ribosomal RNA
Rfam family: Eukaryotic small subunit ribosomal RNA
Source: RNAcentral